ACCUGGGUGGCUCAGUCGGUUGAGUGUCUGACUUUGGCUCAGGUCACGAUCUCACGGUUCGUGAGUUCGAGCCCCACAUCGGGCU
RNAcentral lists this transfer RNA (85 nucleotides) under Felis catus (domestic cat). It matches the Rfam family "tRNA". From Rfam's summary of the family: Transfer RNA (tRNA) molecules are approximately 80 nucleotides in length. Lineage: Eukaryota; Metazoa; Chordata; Mammalia; Carnivora; Felidae. The record is from Rfam by way of RNAcentral.